Molecule: ribosomal RNA, 347 nt
Filed under: uncultured bacterium
Lineage: Bacteria
Description: bacterial SSU rRNA
Rfam family: Bacterial small subunit ribosomal RNA
Source: RNAcentral
CCGCAUACGUCCUACGGGAGAAAGCGGGGGGAGUCUUCGGACCUCGCGCCAUUAGAUGAGCCUAGGUCGGGAUUAGCUAGUUGGUGAGGUAAUGGCUCACCAAGGCGACGAUCCGUAACUGGUCUCGAGAGGAUGAUCAGUCACACUGGAACUGAGACACGGUCCAGACUCCUACGGGAGGCAGCAGUGGGGAAUAUUGGACAAUGGGCGAAAGCCUGAUCCAGCAAUGCCGCGUGCAGGAUGAAGGCCUUCGGGUUGUAAACUGCUUUUGUACGGAGCGAAACGGUGAGCUCUAAUACAGUUUGCUAAUGACGGUACCGUAAGAAUAAGCACCGGCUAACUACGUG